This is a non-coding RNA of Podarcis lilfordi (Lilford's wall lizard), 70 nucleotides long. The record is from the annotation of a GenBank genome assembly. NCBI's taxonomy places the organism in Eukaryota, Metazoa, Chordata, Lepidosauria, Squamata, Lacertidae.
GGCUGGCUCAGGUGGUAGAGCAUGACACUCUUGAUCUCAGGGUUGUGGGUUCGAACUCCAUGUUGGGCCA